CUUUUUUCAGGAAAAGUUGGUUACGGAACCGUUAUGAAGCAUUGGCAUACAGAGUACCCUUUGUUUUUGUCCGAAGAGAUUAUUUUAACGAAGAACCGUUUUUAAGGAAUAUGCCUGCGUGCCAUUACUGUUACAGUGCGUGUGGCGGAACAGCUUGUCCCAUAUGCAAAAACAGCUUAACUAAUAUGCGCCGGAGAAAUCCAGGUGCUGGAGAGUAGCAGCCCGCAGAGCAUUGAGGAAAAUACGUUUGGAAGUGGUAUUACUGCUACCUGGAGAGUGGAGUGGUUGUUCGCAUCGCUGUCCUGCUUCAUCAACGGCCACGCAUUGUUCUUGUGGGGGAUGAUGCUCAAAUUCUUCUAUAAACUCAUUGACCAUCUCCAGGUAAGCAUCCAGAUGAGCUCGCUUCCACUCCUAAAGAUUCGCAGUACAUAAAAUUGUUCAGAUUUCAAAACGAAUGGGAAUAACAUCGCGCCUUUUAACUUCCCAAGUUCUGACCAAGA
Long non-coding RNA from Cucurbita maxima (winter squash), 500 nucleotides. RefSeq lists it as uncharacterized. The transcript has 3 exons. The record is from RefSeq and is a predicted model, not a curated record. Lineage: Eukaryota; Viridiplantae; Streptophyta; Magnoliopsida; Cucurbitales; Cucurbitaceae.